GGUGAGUAAUGUCUGGGAAACUGCCUGAUGGAGGGGGAUAACUACUGGAAACGGUAGCUAAUACCGCAUAACGUCGCAAGACCAAAGAGGGGGACCUUCGGGCCUCUUGCCAUCAGAUGUGCCCAGAUGGGAUUAGCUAGUAGGUGGGGUAACGGCUCACCUAGGCGACGAUCCCUAGCUGGUCUGAGAGGAUGACCAGCCACACUGGAACUGAGACACGGUCCAGACUCCUACGGGAGGCAGCAGUGGGGAAUAUUGCACAAUGGGCGCAAGCCUGAUGCAGCCAUGCCGCGUGUAUGAAGAAGGCCUUCGGGUUGUAAAGUACUUUCAGCGGGGAG
This 338-nucleotide ribosomal RNA is filed under the name Klebsiella michiganensis. RNAcentral's name for it is "bacterial SSU rRNA". It matches the Rfam family "Bacterial small subunit ribosomal RNA", at positions 105 to 446 of the family's 1533-position model. The record is from RNAcentral. Lineage: Bacteria; Pseudomonadati; Pseudomonadota; Gammaproteobacteria; Enterobacterales; Enterobacteriaceae.